RNAcentral lists this long non-coding RNA (28712 nucleotides) under Salvia miltiorrhiza (redroot sage). RNAcentral describes it as "long non-coding RNA (SMIL_LNC006691)". Lineage: Eukaryota; Viridiplantae; Streptophyta; Magnoliopsida; Lamiales; Lamiaceae. The record is from RNAcentral.
CCAGCGUGACCACGCAAGCCUCCGCCGCCGUAUUCCGGCCAUGCCGGUUCCUGAGCGGUUCAGGCGGAAGACUGAACCGGGAAGUGUCGGUUAAACAGGCGGUUUCAUCUUACAAAUCAUUGAAAGUGGAAGCCAAGAAGGGUGAAUGGCUACCGGGGCUGGCCUCUCCGGCGUAUCUGGAUGGCAGGUGCGAUAUUUUAAUACCCCAUAAUGAGUAAUGAGUGUGUUUAAUUGUUAGAUGAGAAUGUGUUGUGUUGUGUAGCCUGCCCGGAGACAACGGAUUCGACCCGUUGGGACUGGCGGAGGACCCGGAGAACCUGAAAUGGUUCGUGCAGGCGGAGCUGGUGAACGGGCGGUGGGCAAUGCUGGGGGUGGCCGGGAUGCUGCUGCCGGAGGUGUUGACGUCCAUCGGGAUCCUGAACGUGCCCAAGUGGUACGACGCAGGGAAGGGGGAGUACUUCGCGUCGUCGUCCACCCUUUUCGUGAUCGAGUUCAUCCUCUUCCACUACGUGGAGAUCAGGAGGUGGCAGGACAUCAAGAACCCCGGGAGCGUCAACCAAGACCCCAUCUUCAAGCAGUACAGCUUGCCCCCAACCAGGUCGGCUACCCCGGCGGCAUCUUCAACCCCCUCAACUUCACCCCCACUCUCGAGGCCAAGGAGAAGGAGAUCGCCAACGGUAUAUAUUAACUAUCACUAUCACAACCAACCAAAGUGUCUUGUCUCACUAUGUACGUGUGUGUGUUUGUGCAGGGAGACUCGCGAUGCUGGCGUUCCUCGGGUUCAUCAUCCAGCACAACGUCACCGGAAAGGGGCCGUUCGACAACCUGCUGCAGCACCUUUCAGACCCCUGGCACAACACCAUCAUCCAGACAUUCAAGGGCUGAACCACAGAUUUAUAGUAUUCGAGUGGUGGAUGGUUUUUGUGUGAAAUUUGAGCUGUAUUUGUAAGACAUUAAUGUACAGGGAGAAGCAACUUGGAGUUUUAUCAUCGAUACAUUACUACAUCUAUCUCAUUAUCAGUCAUCAUCGAUUUCUCCAACAAAAAACACAUGCACCUUCCUUUUUAGCCAACACAAUAUAUUAUGUUUGUUUUCCUACAAAACAAAACUAAACCAAUUCUCUAUCCAUUGGCUAACACAAAUACGCGUCUGCCUCUUUUCUUCGCUUGCGCGAGGCCGCAGAUAUGCAAGCUGUGUACCAACCAGAUUCCACUGAGUCACUUGAUUAGUUUGGUGGCUGCAAAAAAUGGCAACUAGUUUAGAUCAAAUAGUGCUCGCUAAUUACAACUUCAAAUUCCAUCAUACACAUACCACAAAUUGAGACAUUCUCACCUGAGGAUAAGAGUUAUCGUUUAGCAUGGAAAUGGCACACGAACCAGCUGUAGGAACCAAACUAGGUGGAAAAUUGUUGCAGACAGAUCUUGGAAGGUCGAAAUUCCCAUUUAUCUGGUAAUCCAAGCUACUCAGUUGAAAAUUUGCAUCCUUUCCGGGUUCCAUCAAAUCCGGAAAACUUAAAUUUCCAAACGAAUUAUAAGGAUAUUGAUCGCCAAGAGGCAGUCUCAAGUGAGCAGAAUAUGUGUAAUCAUCAAUGGUCAACCCAUCUAGUCUUUCAGUUUUCAGCUGUCUUGAAUUGUCAAGAUCCUGUUCUUUCACAUCGGGAAAGUAACCGGAGCAGGUCGGGAAGGAUGCAUCUCUGGAGCAUUCCAUAUCUCUAGUGAAAAAACGGAGCAUUACAUCUCAAACAAUAUGAGUUUGUGAACACGAAUUCAAAUGAAGUUACAUCAAACAAAUCCAGAAAGGUGCAGAAGACAGAGAUGCCCUAAUGGUUGAUAUAACUCUAUAAACACAGAUAUAUAUACAUAUAUACGAAACUGGAGAAUUAUAUACGAGAGCAUCACACAAGACAAAACCAAAGAUCAACUUACCGACUAGCCAAGAAUUGGGGUUCGCUUGUUAGUAUCAUAUGUUGACCCUCCCCACCAGGAAGCCACGACUGGUUCGGGCAAUCCUGAUCACUGGUUGUUGCUAAGGGAAAAUGCAUGUUGUUUGGAAACUGCGGCUUGGGAAGUUCUUGUUCAUAAACUCUACCAAAGUCUCCACACACCUACAUUACACGGCGAAAACUACUGAAAAGAAAAACAGAGUGAAAGAGAAAUCUAAACCAGUGGAUUGCGUUGCUACCUGGCUUGUGCAAUCAAACUGAAUAAGUGGAUCCUUAAAAAACUUUUCCUGUUGAAAGAAAAUUAUAUCAGUAAACUUAUUUUCAUCACUCUUAGCCUGCAUCAUACUACCAAGAACAAUUUAUUUAGGUAGCUGAACUGACUUUUUGACCUACAUGCUUCGCGGCUAUUGUUUCGACUCUAUAAUACCUUGUACUGAAUUGAUGGAGCAUGAACUCAUUGAAAAGGCAUGUAAAGUCUUACUUAGUACCUUAGUUAUUUGAGUCCUGUUCAGUGAUUCACGUAGAGAAUUUUCCAUCUGAUUUAGGUGUUCGAUGUCUUCAAUAGUGUCUGGAUUACUCCACCAGCUGGAGACAAAACACUUCAUAAAUCUACGAGCAGUUCAACGAUAGCUAACCUGUUAUCUAGAUCAUAAUUAACACCUCAAAAUUGAAUUUCAACAAAAUCAAGAAACUAAAAAUUGCAGAAGUUCGAAAUUGUAUGGUCAACUAUAGUAAAAAGGUGCAUACACCUUACCUGAUUAUACUACUACAAAAAUUUAAGUUAUUCAGCUUAGAAUGGAAAUCAUUUUAUACAUAAGACAUAGAUUUCAAUCAUGAUUUUUCGAGUUGAUACGCAUCACUUCUUAGUUUAUGGACCAAAAGUUCUGAGAUUUUACAUUAUUCUUUUAUGUGCUUCAGCAAGUUGACCUUGAAGAGUCCUUGCUCGGUUUUGCAUUUCCUAUCAAGUAGAAGAACACAUUAGGCAUUUCAAGGGAUGGGUCAACUAUGGUACGCUCGAUUUUCAGAUCGCGGGUGGCUAAUGAGAAUACCUCAAUUGAUGGAGUACUGCCAAACGAAAAUAAAAAAAAAUGAAAAAAAAUCAUCAGAAAUGGCAUAGGGCUUAAGCAAUUAAAAUUGUCAAUAGAGUGAAUAGUUUACCUUGCAUCAAGAAACUCUUCUAUAUCAACAUCUUGGUCGAGCUUCUUGAAGUUUCUUUUUAAAGUCUAUCAUAUCAUUUAUCCAAAGGAAUUAACUUCACUUUCUUUUCAAGAAGAACAAUAUAAAGCAAAAGGUACAUAGUUGAUAUAAUACUUACUUCAAGACUCUCCAACCUCCUAUUCGAAUUUCAGAAGAAGAAAGAGAUUGAGUUAUUAUGAUAGCACUUUAAUUCAUAGAAAGAUAACCAUGUGCAGCAAUUAUCAGUACCUCUUUGCCCUUUCUUUUGGUGUAAGUUGAGCGUAUUUUGCUAUCAUUUCAUCAAUGUUGCUGAAACCAAAAAGAAGAUGAAUCGUGACAUGUCUGUGCUGAAGCCUCUUUUAUGGAAUGGACAUAAGAAACAGCAGGUUCCUAAUUGUCUAAAAUGAUAAACAACACAUCCAAUUAUGGUCAUGUCAGCUCAAAAAAUACCACAGGAGGAGGUAAUCAGUCAUCUUAGAUCUUCUUGCUUAUUCUUCAUCAUCAAAACGAGAAUGAUAAUCAACAUCAACCUUGUUACAGAGAUUAUAAAGACAGGGUAUAAGCUACAAGCACUCUAAAAGUGAGGCUUUCCAUGUAUAUUGUAUUGCUCACCAACAUAAAGACCAUGCAGAAUAACCAUUACCACAAAUGAUGAUGUCAAAACUAGAGAUGCUUAAUAACAACCUUCGUUGACCGCAGAAUAUAGAUGGCUUCCCAGAUGGAGAAAACAUGAUAAGUACAAUGGGAAUGUCACAUAAAACAGAAAUUUCUUGGGCCUUUUUCAAGAUUCCAGCCCUUCGUUUUCCAUACGUGACCUGCCGGCUGUUCAGAGUCUCUAAUCUCUGUAUCUUCAGCUUUACCCUUCCCAUCCUACAAGUUCACAACCAAUAAAUCCCUAUUUCAACUCCCAAAUCCUCAAACAAUGAAACACAUUUAAAUUUCUGUCUCCUUUUCAUGUAUUUUCUUUAAUCAAUCAUUGCUUUUGAUAUAGUGAAAAACAUCAAAAUGGAGACUAAAUUUACAUGUUUUUCCACAUUGCAAGAAUCAAAAUCACACAUUCUCAAAUAUAAAGCUGGAAUCAGAUAAAGAAACAAUCUUUCCCAACUAAUUACAUUACCUUGACGUAAAAUCCUCCAAACAUGUGCAAAUUUGCAGAUAGAAAAUCCUGCAAUAAUCCUGUAUUUCCACAAACAAGGGGUUAAAAAUAGGAAUCAUAAAAUGAAGAAAAGCGGAACAUAGAACCCAUGGCUAAGAGAGGGAGAAAUGUGAGACAGUCCCACUCGAGGAUUUCAAUGGAAAGAUUGAAACCGCAUUUUGACAUUGGUGGCAUUAGGGCGACAAGCAUGCAGAAAAAUGCAAAUGGAAAAUGACCUAAAAAUGGGAUAUCCAAAUCAGGUGAUGAAUGGACAUAAUAUUUGUGAAUGUGAUGUAAGCUGCAGCGAUUCGAGAAAAUAAAAAGGGAAAACAGGAGAAGGAGGAGGAGGAUAAUGAUUUUAAGGGAGAAUGAGGAAGAGAUGCAAGGAGAGAGAAAGGAAGAGUGAGAGAGAAAAGGCUAAGGAGAAGGAUUGAGGAGCAGACAACAGGUUGUACUAUGAUUUCGGCAGUUAAAACUCGCGGGAGAACCGAACCUAGAUGCGCGUAGGGACCAAAUAUUUUCAAAUAUUCUUAAUGUUUCUCUGCUAAGAAUUACUCAUAACAUAAUAAUUACUUACUUUUGGAAAGUAAUGAUUUUAUGUGAUUCACAUCUUAGCACAACAUUAUUUUGCUAAUUUAUCAUUUUGAGUAGUAGAUUUUUGGGGGUUGAGAAAUAUGCGCAAAAGUGGACCUUUUCCAUUUCAAUUCGAAGCUCUUCAAUGUUUCAUAUCGGGGAGAAGAAAAUCAAGUUUCUAAAACCAAGUACAAAAUACAAACAUUUGAGCCGAUUUCAAUGUCCAAUUGUGACGUCCCAAUUUUCUUAUUAAAAAAAUAAAAUGUAUUUUGAAUAAAAUAUUAAGAUUCGAACCUUUAAAAUAAUUCAAAUCUAUAUUGCAACGGAAAAUAUCAAAUAAAACAUAAUAAAUUUAGUCUUUAUUCCAAUUAAAAAUAAAAUAUUAUUUCUUUUUUAUUCCUUGACCACCAUCACUCGCCCAGUCCAUCAUCGCUCGAGACGUCUCCUGAAAAAUGAUAUUAUUUUGAAGUGAGUACAAUAACUCAAUGGGAGCGUAUUUAUCCAAAUUAUAUGAAAUACAUCAAUAAAUACAUGAUUAUAGCAUCCAUCACAUAGCCCGUAGGCCAUGCCCUUACUCUGAAGAUAGCCCAUAGGCUACAUCAUAUAACUAGUAGGUCAUGAGCUUAUUCUCAACUGUAUCACAUAAUUAAUUAAGCAAAACAUAUAAUAAGGAUAAAUGACUUAAAUGUAUUAAAAUCACCCUACCUUAACCUUUCUUGAGCAAAACUCGCAAUUAAAUAAUUAAGUCUCGCGCGCCGUUCCUAAAAUGAAUUAUAAAAUCAUAAUUAAAAUAUGUUUAACCAAUGAAUGCACAUGAACAUGAAUAUAAUAUAUAUAUAUAUAUAUAUAUAUAUAUGUGCAUAAAAUUAUUUUCUAAUAAAAUUUACUAAUUAAAAAUCGGAAUACUUUAAAUAUUAAUAUGUAAGUAAUACUUAGAAAUAUGUACUUAAAGAAAAACAAAACAUGGCGCGUUUAAUAUAGGUUAUUAUCUACUGAGAAUCUCAAAAUUAGUGACACCUAAGAACCAUUCUACACCCUAGAUUACUCCUAAUCCGACGUAUAUGAUUUAAAAUUGUUAAAAAUAAUACUUGUUCAAUUAACCAAAAUUCUUAUGCGUUUUUUGUGUAGAAGGGUAUAUUAGUAAUGUGAUUUGAUAUUAUAGAAGUGUAUCCCUUAAUUAUAGCACUAAAAAUCUUCAUAAUUAAUUUUACAUUUAUCUUUUGACGUCUCCUCCUAGUAAUGGACGUCUUUUUACCUUCUUCUCUCUCAUUGUCAAUUUUCUACCGCCAUUUUCGAACACUGCAUUGUAGGAGUGAACAAGCUUUUCAGUCCAUUCAACUUCUCUCACUUGUUCAUACAUUUUGUAAUCUCAAUUUUGUGUCAAGCGAUGAAUAUAUGAUAAACAGGUGAAAAAGGUUUUGUUUUCGUUGGGGCUUGAAAAAUAUUUUCUCGUUGACAGAUUUUUUUUUGUAAGCCAUUGAACAAACCUUUUAUUUCCAGCGAAACGACGAUUAUUUUUUAAAACCUUUAAUUUUCUGUGAUUUCGGGCGUGUAUUUUCCAGCGUCAAUGAACAAUAUGCAGGAACAAAGUCCAUGAACAAAUUCAAUGAACAAGUCCUAUACGUAUGACAUGAACUUUGAAUAAGAAUGAACACUAAGUGAACAAGUCAUUGUUCAUGUAGAUGUUCAUUUGUUUGAAAUGUAUGACAAGUUAUUGUUCAUGAAUUGAAUCAUAAUAAUUCAUUUUUCAUAUGAACAAGUGGUUAAUCUAGUGAAUAUUGAUGGUCUAAACUUAUUCAGUCAACUAAAAUACAUGUUCAGGACUAUAUUAAAUGAACAAAUGAAUUAUACGUCUGAACAUGGAAAAACAUUCAUGAAUAUAGCGUGUGUUCAUAGAGUGCAUUUGCAAUUAAAUGCCUGAACAUGGUAGAACUGAUGAAGGAUGAAUAAUGCACUAAAUAACUCUAGCAAAUAAGUUCUCCAAAUCGUGUGUUAGUGGGAUAAUAAAAGAUAUGUUUGACAAAAUCAAAAUACCAAAAAUAUGAGAUAUGAUGUUGCAUGGAAUUAGGAAAGUAACAGUUAGUCAAUAUUGAGGAAAUUCUCUAAAGCCCCUUAACGUGAAUAAUUACUUCAGAUUAAUGGGUUAGAUGAGGUCCGUUAAAUUAUAUUAAUCAAGGGUUAGGAUGAGUUCUUAGGUGUCACAAAAAGAUGACAUUCUCACGUAAACCUUCCUCUCUCUAUAUAUAUAGACACACUUAUACAAAAUGAUCAAACUAAUAUUUAUGUAUGUACAUUCAUGCUUUAAAGCAUUAAAUCAAGAGAAAGAUAUAUACAUGUAUAUAUAUAUAUAUAUAUACACUUAUAUAUAUAUAUAUAUAUAUAUAUAUAUAUAUAUAUACUUUAAAGAAAAGGUGGAGCAAGAAUUUGAUAUGCAGUAUAAUCACUUAAAGGGAAAAUAGUACAAUAUUUGACUAAUAAGAAAUAUGGCAAGAAAAGGUAAAGUAUUCUCUCUCUUAUUUUGACGGGAAUGGAAUAUCAGAAGUAAAGGAAUACAAAGAAAAUGAAGAGAACAUGCAAAGUAUUACCUCACCUCAAGGAAUAGAGAAGGAGCUAUUUAUAUUAGGAGCUAGGAGUUUAUUUUUGGCAAUAAAAUCAAUUAAGAAAAAAUCAUUCCAUAAUUUAGAUUUAGAUAAAAAAAGGUACGUGAAUUAGGGUAACUUACUUAAAAUAACAAAUAUAAUAAUAAUUACAAGAAUAGUAAUAAUAAUAAGAAUGAUAAAAAAAUAAUAAUAAUAAAUGUUUAGAAUUUAUUAUAAAAAAAAUGUUCGUGCAAUAUCUAGGCGCGACUUAUAAGACUUAAAAUUUAAUAAAUGAAAAUUAUUUAAAGAAAAAUAUUUGGGUCACUGCACCAGCAGAUGUCUACUCUCCCAAAUAUUACCAUUUACCAACUACUAAUACUUUCUCAUGCCCAAUUUAAUAGCCCAUAUUUUUUAUUUGAACGCUCGAUUUAAUAUACUACUUCCUGAAAUAAAAUACUAUAUUACAAAUAUCUUUACAUAACUCAUUAUUUACACUAUGAAUGCAUUUACUUCGAUGAAAAAUGAGAGAAAAAAUAUAUUUUCGAUCAUUUUCCACCAUUUUCACAUAUUUACUAUGAUAGAAUUUUUUUUUCGGGUAGGAUGAAAUAUUUUUCUCGGGCAGUCCAUUUUCACUCAUUUUCUCUCCAAUAUUGGGUAAUAUUAUCUUAAGGUAAGGGUGUGAAAACAUUUUUCAACAUUUUCUCAUCUUUUCAUCUUUAGUUAACAUAUGAUAAAAAAAUAGGAGGAAAAUAUAAUAUUUUCUCAUCUUUUCUUAUCCAUCAUUUUCCAAUGAAAAUUCUACAACCAAAAUAAACGCACCCUAAAUGUCAUUGUGCUCUACACAUAAUUAUCCCUCCUUUUAUUUUAACAAAAUAUUUUUAUUUCUCUUCUUACUCUUUUUUAACAUAUAUAUUAUUAAAAAUUUGUUUUUUUCUCACAUAUAUUUUAGGGUUAAUUACGCCAAAAAUCAUGAACUAUACCCCAAUUUCCAACUUUUCCAUGAACUUUUUUUUAUCAAAAAUUCCCUGAACUUAAUGUGUUGAACAAUUUUUCCAUACUUUUUUCUCCGGUGAAGCUCCGGGCUGACUUGUCGCCUACGUGGUAAUAUCGAGCUGACGUGGCGUCUAUUUGGACUAAAAAUUGACACUUGGAAAAAAAAAACCAAAAACAAAAAACCAUUCUCUUUCUCUUUCCCCCUUCCAUGUCCGGCGAACACCACCGCCCCACAAGAUCCGCCGCCCCCUCUCUCUCCACCGCCCACCGCCUUCCCUCCUCCAUGUCCGACAAACUCCUCAUCCAUGUCAGAAACAGUUACACAUGUAUUCUCUUCGUUUGCACGGUGGUGGUUAGGUUGUUGUCCAAUCGAAGCGCAGAGGAGGCGUAAGAAGGUGGGGGAUCUGGAGCUCUGCGGCGACAGCCCUAUCGCUGUGCAGUCGUCGGACUUCGAGGAGAGGGGGUAGGGUUUACAGCAGGGCAGAGCAGAGUAGAGUUGAGCAGAACAGAGUAUAUCAGAGCAGAGUAGAGUAGAGCAUAGUAGAGUAGAGUAGAGCAUAGUAGAGCAGAGCAGAGCAUAAUAGAGCAUAGUAUAGCAGAGCAGAGCAGAAUAGGGCAUAGUAGAGCAGAGCAGAAUAGAGCAUAGUAGAGCAGUGCAGAGCAGAAUAGAGCAUAGUAUAGCAGAGCAGAGCAGAAUAGAGCAUAGCAAAGCAGAGUAGAGCAUAAUAGAACAGCGUUGGCUCUUCACCGAUGGUCGUUCGACCGAGAGGUGAGAAAGGAGGGAAGAGAGAGGGCGAAAGCAGAUCCGGCGCCCUAACCUUAAUUUCGUCUCCCCCGUUUCCCCCACCCCCAAACCCUAAUUUCACCUCCUUCCACCAGCCGCCGCCCACUCCCUCAAAUCCACCCCUCUAUCCAAAAUCGAAGAGACAUCAAUUGUUGCGAUAAAGUUAGCGUCCGACGCCGCACGUGAACGAGCAAUAGCAAACCAGCACCGCGCGAGGUCGCUGCUACAAACCAGCACGCCGCUGCACUGCAUCUCCGGCACUGAUCCUCCGUCGAUUUUCUCCGCCUUCGCCUCCGUCGAAAUUAGGGCUCAGAAAAGGGGGCUAAUGUUAAACGACGUCGUUUACCUUCAAUUAAACGACGCCGUUUCAAUUCUCCGCCGGCGAUGCCAUAUAUAUAUCCGGUCACUUAAAACAUGCCAUGUCAGCUAUGAAUUUGGGGAUUCUUGAAAGUUAUGGAAAAAUUGUUCAACACAUUAAGUUCAGGGAAUUUUUGAUUAAAAAAAAGUUCAUGGAAAAGUUGUAAAUUGGGGUAUAGUUCAUGGUUUUUGGCGUAAUUAACCCUAUAUUUUAUUAUAAACUAUUCGUUUCUUAAUUUUUUUAACAAAUAUACCAUUUAAAAAUUAUUUUGUCUCUCAUAUCUUAUUAUAAACUACUUCCUUCACCGGUUGACUCGCAGCGAGUAGCCGCCAUCCCGCCGCCUGUCUAGGUAACCCAAGCUCUUUCUCUCAUUUCCCUUUUUAUUUUUCUCAUCCCCGUUUAAAAACAUCUGAAAAAUUCUCUCUACUUGUUCUUUCUAAUUUGGCCCGAAUUUGGGGAUAAGGAAUUGGAAAAUGAAAAAAAAAAUGAAAUCUUCUCUAACUUUAAUCACCAAUUCCUUGAAUUUAUUGAAAUUUGUGGAGAAGUGUGAUGGAAUUAAGAGGGGAUUUGCUGGUUCAAGUAGUGGAAAAGGAGCAUAGAGGCAGGCGAGGAACGUCUCGUCGAUUCUAGAGGCGGCAGCGAUUUUUAUAGAGAACAAAGGAGAGAGCGCCACUCGCUGUAACGUCGAUCUGCGAAGGGAAAAGCUAGAGCUUGAUUUCUAUUUUUAUUUGGGCAUGUGUGAAUCUGUCUCAAGUACAGAGAGGGAAGAGAGCCGGAUGUGAGACGCGACGUCGCCCGAAUUUCAGAAUCCCAAUGACAACGGCAGCAAGUCCUGACGAAGAGGCGGCGCAAGCAGAUGGUCGUUGGCCUCGUCGGAUUUCGCGAAGGUGCAGCGGAAUUGGUGGAGUGCACAACGAUGUCGUCGUCACAACACAAGAAUUUUUUUUGCAUAUUAAAACAAUUGUUCCAGGUAGAUAAAUAAGUCCACGUAGACACGCUGUGUAGGAACUUCGACUAUCUAUAUCAAUUUUUGGGAGCCGAAAAUUUUUAAUAGGACACAAAUAAUAUUUUUCUGAUAGAUUGAAUAUCGUUUUCGUAUUAUCAUUAAGUUGGAAUAUUUUUAAAAAUUCACUAAAAUGAUGGGACAUAAAUUGACCUUUAUUCGUUUAUUUAUUUAUUUUUGGACGAGAGAGAAACCAACAAGCAUAUUCAUCAUCUGCGAUAAACUCCGAGUGUUUACUCAUAUGUGCAACAAGUCAACAACUCAUAAAAAUUUACAAUUACUAUUUUCAAAAACAUUUACGCAACCCCCAUUUCCUAAAAAAAAUAUAUAACUCCCCCCCCCCCCCGCCCCCUCCCCGCCCAGAAAAAAAAAGAACUGUGAAGAGAUAAAAGAGCUGGAAGAAAUUUAGAAAUUUAGAAUGCAUUUGAGGGUUCUGCAGAUUAUUUCUUGGGAGGGGCUAUACGGAUCAGCUACAAAAAGAAGUGAUAUUUAAUUUAAAAGUAAUGACUAAGAGGAUAAAAAAGUAAAUCUACAAAUAUUUUUUAAUAUUAUUUAAUAUAAAGGGUUAUAAUGGGUAAAAUGGGGCCGUGAAUAAAAUUACCCUAUUGUAAAAGGUGAUCCUUAAAUACCACACGAAAGGGAGUCCACAGCGAAAGAUAAUUGGGUUGAUGGUAGGGAUAGGUUGAGCCCACAUUUGCAGUUACCCUCUUUAUUUAUAGUAGGCAGGUCCAUCCCAAAUGGGCUGGACUAAAAAUAUUACUCUUUUUAUAAAACUUCAACUAUAUCGUUUUCCAAUGUACUACCUAAUGUAUCAAAUACCUAAUCAACUUUGAUAACAUACUCCUAUUAAAAAUCUUUAGAUUAUUAAUGAAAAUAGUCCGAACUUUGAGUCCAUAAUGAUUUUUUAGUCUGCACUUAUAUGUGUUAUUUAAUUUAUUGGCCAAGUCAAAUUUCGACCAAUUGAUGAGUGAUAUGUCUUCCCAGAAGCUGAUUUGACAAUUAAAAAAAAAAUUAUAUCAAUUUUUUUUAAAAUCUUCACAUCAACUCUCAAAUAUUGUCGUUUCAUUGAGAAUUCAUAUUUUAAUAUUUUAACACUGUUGAAAGAAAUGCAUUCAACAAUCGAUUCUUUUUUGUGAAUUUAAACUCCGAAUAAAACAAUGAUGCUUGAGAGCUGAUGUGGAAAUUAAAAACUAAUAUAUUUUUUUUAUUGUCAAGUACUGUCAACUUUCAGUGAGAUAUGUCAUUCUUCAGUUGAUCGAAAUUUUGACUUGAACUAUAAACUAAAUUACUGAGAUAAAUUCAAAAGUGAACAACAAAGAUAAAUUCAAACUUUAUUUAUAAUAUUCGUAAAUUCAAAUUAAAGAGUCACCAUGAAUCAAAGUUUGAGCUAUUCUUUAAUAAUAACCUAAAACCUUUUAGAAGAGCUAAAAAGGUAUUUAGGUGAUAGAAUAGGUCUUUUAAAAAACUUCUAUGAAAGAUUGCAAUUCUCUUAUGAAAAUAAUACCUCAUUCGUCUCAUGAAGAUAGUCCACCUUUUUUUUCCACAUAUAUUAAGAAAAUACUCUAUCCGUCGUCAUAUUUAUACAUUUUUUUCCACCUUUAAAUUUUAAUUUUUCAAUGAUAAAUAAUAAUUAGAGUUUAUAAUAUAAUAAUAAUUUUUAUUUUUAUAAAAAACAAUUUAUAAAACAAAGAAAUGAAGAGUGGUACAGGUGGUACACACAAUAUUCUGGGACAAAGGAUCCCAUCUGGUUGAAUAGAAGGACAAUUUUGGUACCUAAAGCCAAAACGACUAUUGUUAGAGCAUCUCAAUGAGAGACGCUAAAAGGUGGUCCUCAUCUUAGAGCUUUUCUCUGCAGUGCAUUGGCUCUCUAAGAGGCGAUAUAAUCUUCAUUUUUAUUUAAUCUCUUCUUACUAUUCUAUUAUAAAAUUCAAAAUUUCAUUAAAAUUAAAAUUUAAUAUUAUAUUAAUUAAAAUAAAAUACUUAAAGCAUUACAUUAAUUAAAAUAAAAUACUUAAUACAAAAUUAAAUUUAAACAAAAAAUCCAAUAAAAAUUAACUAGGACAACGAAAUUAAAUACAAAAAGCCUAACAGAAAGCCCACAAAAAUUAAACAAAAAUAGGAUUACUCUCUCUCCUCUUUCUCAACCUUAAUGGCGCCUUCUUCUUAUUCUUCUUCUCUGCAUCUGUUCUAGACCUCCUUCAUAGCAACUCUCUCUCUCUCUCUCAAAUUACACGCUUGCACAUCACGCGAACUCCUUUCUUCACCUUUGUGCCCGCACCAUCCUUGGCACCCAGCAUGAACCCCCUUGCCUCCACAGCGCGACGCACUAGGGGCGUGCCGGCUCGGUCCGGCACGCAAAAGAUAGCGUUGGAGAUGCUCUUAUACAAAUAAUUAAGAACACCAAAACGCCUAGUGCUCAUUUGGUUCAAGUAGAGGAAUGGAAAUGGAAUGAAAUCAAAUAAAUGAGUGAAAUGGUAACAAUAACAAUUAUUUUUAUUAAGUGUUUGGUUUAAUAAUGUAUUCCCUUUCUUUUGUUUCACCUCUAUUUUGAGAGGUAACAAUUUGAGUGAUUGGAUUACCCUCAAGUAAAGGUUAUGGUUAACUCACUACUCAAACCAAACAACAAAUAAUUAAUUUAAUUAAUCGAAUCUUUUUCUAACCUCCAAAGACACCCAAUCAAACAUGGGCUAAUUAAUUAUCUCUUUCAUCCUUUAACAAAAAUUAAUUACGUACCUCUUUCACAUUAAUCUAGAGGGGAAAGUGAAUCCAAUUCUUGUUAGAUUUGGUUUAUUUAAGCAAAUGCGAUUUGAAGUUAGGUUGUUGACGAUAGUUUCCGGUAAAGAGGGUAACCUUUAUCUUUAAAUUAUUACUUAUUUCAUUUGAGAAAAUGAUAGCUUUCCAACUACACUUUCUUCCAAAUAAGAUUUAUAUCAUCCACAUAUCUUAAUUUAUUUUCUUUUUGCCUCUUUCUUGGGGCACUUUCAUGCUACUUUUUUCUUUGAAGAAGAAAAAUCUGAUAAAAGUUGUCCUAUGUACUAAUGUAAGGUUGUAGUGCGGGUUGACUUUGUCCGAAUUUUCUUAUUGUGCCCUAAAGUCUAUCAAUUAUAGAACUAUAUAAUUGAGUAUUUUGUAAAAUGGUGUGGUGUGUAUAUACAAUAAUAUUAUAGAACUAUAUAAUUGAGUAUUUUAUAAAAUGGAGUACUUAUUAGAUAAGAGAUAGAAUAAAUUGAUUUUAUUUAAAUAGCAAAAGGUUAUUUAAUGUAGCGGAUGCUUGACACGAGCUUAAAUACAACCAGAUUGUAUAUGUUUAUAUGAAUAUGUGUGAGUAUUGCUGAAUCUACUUCUAACAUUAAUUUCAGCCACAUAUAUAAUAAACAAAUAAUUUAUACCUAAAAAACAUUCAAUAUUGAUUGUGCACGAGUAUUAUCUCUAAAUCAAACCAUAAAUUAACUAUGCUCGAGACAAGGUUUGUGAGAUGAUAUCUUAAACUUGUUAACGUCGAAUAGCUUAAUUAAUGUGGAUUUGGAGUGGUCAAUUAUCAAUUUGAUAGACUUCAUAUCCCUAGUGGGACUUAGUGGAAUCAAAUCAAUCAUAAUUCCACUACUUUUAUGAAUGACCUUAAAAGCACUAAUUAACAAUAGGAGCAGAAAAAGUUGAAUUCGAUAAAACAAAAAGAAAAAGAAUUGGAAGUGGGAAACUGACUUUAUUCUCGUCUACAUUAAAUAUAUAUAAACUUUAUAUGUGAAAAAAGAAAGCUUGUUGGCUGACCGUGAUAUUAAAAAAUAAUUCAUCUAUUCCAAGUGAUAUUAUUUUCUACCACUAACUUGACAUAUAUGAGUUAAAUAAUGGAGUACUAGUAAUCACUUACUAUCUCUUCUUUCUGGGUAAAAUGUUCUCAAUAGAUAAACUCGAUACACAGUAAAUAUAUAUACAACUGAUGGGUUGGGCUGUAGGUAGUUAUUAGUUAAAGUAUACAAUAACCGGUUCAGUAUUUAUAACCAAAAUACCUUUUCAAAAUUUCGUACAUAUAUAUAAAUAUCGUUCAUAUAGUUUGAUCAUUAUGAAGGGGACUGGAUAUGAGAACAAUUUUUUAUUAAAAAAAUAAAAUCGUUUGACGUUAGUGAGAAGAUAUAUUAUCGAGCACAUUGAAAUUAUUUAGAUAAAAAAAUGGACAAUGCGAAUCGAUCAACACAUGCAAUGCAACUAAAAUAUAAUGUUACUUUCUCAAAAUAUCAAGCAACCAAGGUACGUGUGUUUUUCUUUUCAAUAUAUAUAGUAUAUAAUUUCAAGAUUUGACUUGGAUUCAUGAGUCAAUUAAGUAUAACUUUUUUUCAUUUGAAUUUUCAUCUUACCAUUUACCACCACAUAUAUAAUUUAAGUAGCCGAAGUUGAACCGACAAAUCGAACCAAAUCGAACUGAAUAUGACCAUUUGGUUUGAUUUUUACGUAUGAAAUGGUGCGGUUUUCAACCCGAAUCCGUCCGAAUUAAUAAUAAUUAAUAAAUUAUUAAAUAUAUGUUAUUAAAUAAAUAAUUACUAUUAAAUAAUUAAAAAUUAAAUUCAGAUUUUAGGGUUUUACAGUUUAGUACUUUGCGGUUUAUUAAAUAAUUCAAAUUAAAUUCAAAUUAUAAAAAUAAUUAAUUAUUAAAUAAUUAAAAAUAAAAAAUGAAACGGUUUAUGCCAAACCGAACCAAAAAUUUGCGGUUCAAUUUGAUUCGCUUUGGCCAUCGAAAUGGUUCGGUUCGGUUUCAAAUUUUAUAGGCGAUUUAGGUUCGAUUUUUUUCUAAUUCGGUUCGAUUUUGAUCCGACGAACCGUCCGAAUGCUCAGCCCUAAAUUCAUAUUCGCUCAAAUAUAUACAUAUAUAUAUAUACAUAUAUAUAUAUAUAUUAUUUUAAGUACAAUGAGGUUUAAGCAAAUCCUAUCCAAACUCUUCAAAUUUCCGCUCUUAAUAUAUAGAUUGGAGUACAAUCCAUAUUAAAUAGCACAUGUGAUUAAAGACCACAUGUUUUUUGGAAUUGCUCUAACAUUAUUAUAACAUAAUGAAAUUUACCAGAAUCUAUCUAUAGAUAACUACAACGAAUCUUCAGAUAUAAGAAGAUUAUAAUAUCCCAAAUCCAAUGCUCAUAAAUAAAAAUACAAUAAAUUUAUGCAGCCACGUUGUGGCCACCCACACACUAGUAUAAUAAGAAAAAUCUUGAUUUAUUUAAUUUAUUUUUUAAAAUAAAAAUAGGAUUUAGUUAUUUUAUUAUACUCGUAUUUUCUACAUUGUACUUUUUUUUUGUAUUUUUUAUUUUUAAUUUAUUUUUUAAUAAAAAUAAAAAAGUUACCAAAAAUUUACAAAGAAUAAUUACAAUAUAGAAAAUUUGAUAAAAUAAUUAAAUCUUAUUUUUAUUUUAAAAAAUAAAUUAAAUUAUUUUUUAUUUAGGUGAAUUGUGGAUGGCCGGUAUGGCUGUUUAACAUUACUCAUAAAAAUAUUUAUACAUGUGGACUCAAUCGUUUGCUAUAGAAAAAGGCAAAACUUGGUACGUGUGAUAAGAAAAAUGGUAGCAAAAGGCAAAAAGAAAGUUGGAAAAGCCAAAAGCCAUUAAUGGCAUUGCAACUAAUUAGUGUAAUAAUGAAUAAGAUGUGGUUAGCAUUUGCUCUCUCAAAAAUAUCUCAAUUACUGGUCCACAUUAUACACGUACUUUCCUAUCAUCCUCAGCAAGGUCUUUUUUUCUAUAGACAAAAGUCUAUUUCUAUUUAUUAUUGUCUAAAAGGUUCAUAUCAUAUGAAGAAAGUUUAAUAAAUGGUUGAUAUGAUGGUAUGAAAUAGAAAUAGAACGAUUAUUUAUAUUUUUUUUAUUUUUAUAAUUCUCUUAUGGUUCUUUUUAUAGUUAAUAUGUUCUUAUAUUGAGAAUAAUCAUUUUUUAUGAGAUCACCAUCCCACGUACGAGAAUAGUAUGAAAAAAACUCUUUCCAUCCACAAUAUAAAUAUAGUAUUUUUGUUAUUUUUGUCUUUUCGUAAUAAGUAUAUAUGGCAUGCUAUUAUAUUUUUAAAUUUAUUCACAAAUAAUAAUUACGAAAAUUUCAUAUUACAAAUUAUUUAUUAAUUACUAAUAAAUCAAUUUUGGUGUGUCACUUUUUCUUACUUUAUAUACAUUUCUCAAUAUUUUUUUAAAAUUUGUAUUCUUCCACUCGCACUAUAUUUAUCGUGAACGCAGAGAGUAUGAAAUAUAAAUAUAUAUACCAAUCUCAUUCAUAUUAAUUCACUUCGUUCGUGCCAAAUUCCAAUCCAAAUCCCAAUCAAUUCCUAAUAUCCUUUCCAACAAGAGAAGAUUGAGAACACACAACAUGUUUUUAUUUAUUUUUCUUUAUUAUAUUGCGUUUGGCUCAAGCUAUUUACGUGAGCUGUUCUAAAUGAGGACCAAUAUUUGAUAAUUAUAAAAGUUAAAUUCAAUCAUGGUAAAAGAAUAAUAAGUGAACAUUUGAUGAAGCAAAACCUCUAAGAGCAAAAUCCUCUAUUAUUGCAAAAUAAAAACAUGGCAAGUCAUAUGAUCUUUCAAAAGUUCAAGCUUAAUUUAAAAACUUGAGAGUAAAUCGUGUAUAUCUUUAAAUUAUUUGUUUCUCCAAUAAAAAAAGUUGUGUAAAUCACUGGACAUGGCAUAACUGUAUAAUAGGUUCACCAUUGUCAUAUUUAGUCUUUCUUUUCCCUUUAUUACUUCUACAUUUUAAAUAGAGUAAAAUUUUGAAGUAGCCAAAAUGAAGCAUAAAACACAAUUUAUGACCACACAUUGAAAAAACACAAAUUUUGGCCAUUUUUAUUGAUUUGGACGUUUUUACCCUUAAUGAGGCGGACCGGGUAGGAUCAGGCACGCGGGUCGCGUGCCGGGUCGGGUUAGGCACUUAUGGCACUAUUAAUGCCAUAAGUGCCAAGAUUUUACUUUGGUUUUAUUUUGGAUUUCCGUUGGCACUUAUGGCACUAAUAAAACCAAGUAAAAUAAUCAUUUUGGGCACUUAUGGCACUAUUAAUGCCAUAAGUGUCAUACGUGCAGCACAAAUACAGAAACAACAUCAUUUAAACCCUAAAUGGAACAUCUAAACCUAAAUGGAUAAUCUAAACCCUAAAUGGAAUAUCUAAACCCUAGGGGGAAGUGUGCACUUAUGGCACUAAUAGUGCACUUAAGUGCCAUACGUGCAGCACACAGAUCAGAUCAGAUUUUCCAUGGCUGAAAUCGAAGGAGGCGGAGAUCAAAUCUGCCGAUGGAGGAAGCGGUGCAACGAUCAGAUCAGAUCCACCGCCGCCGCCUCAUCAGACCAGAUCUGCCGCCGCCGCGCGCUGGAGAGAGAGAGCGAGGAUCUCCUCCACCACCGCCGCGAGAGCUCCGACGAAUUCUCCAAGCUCGGCGCCGCUGCCGCACAGCCGCUGGAGAGAGAGGGAGAUGAGAAAGAGAGAGGAGCCGCUGGAGCAGAGAGAGGGAGAUGAGAAAGAGAGAGGAGCCGCUGGAGAGAGAGAGAGGGAGAUGAGAAAGAGAGAGGAGAGAGAGAAGGUUAGAAUAGUCAUGACAUACAAAAAAUGGCCAAAAUUUAUGUUUUUUCAAAUGAUGGACAAAAUUUAAUGUUGUAUGUUGAAUAGGGCCAUUCGGCCCUAUUGUUUCUUUUAAAUAUAUAUAUUUUUUAAAAAACAUACUAUAUAAGGUAGCGUAGAGUAUAUUGAAAAUCGAAGAUUGAAUAAGAUGUUUGUGCAUAAAACUCAACCUCAUCACAUACUUGCGAAUUGUUGAGAUUGGUGAUUUGCAACAUAAGUUAUUGAAAAAUCACAUAUUUUGUGGGGCUGCCAAAAUUGCAAAGUAGAAUGAAAGCGGUUAAUGAAUAUGAUACAAGCAUAUAUCUACAACUAUGAGUAUACAACUUGUACAAAACUUAUCUACAUUCACCAAAAAGCUAAACACAAUCACGCACGCUCUUGGAACGCAAGGGACCGCGACAGAGCCGCCGGAUUGGCUUGCAGCAUAGGCGAGGCGGCCGCGGCAGCCAUGGCCGGUUUCUUGUCACCGCCCUUGGGCUGCAAGGCCUUGAAAAGGCCUUCUCUGCUAAUGGCAUCGUACUUGAUCCCGAGCGUCGACCAUAUAGAGCUUCUAGCAGCUUCUUCCGGAUCAUCCAUCCUCAACGUUUUCGGCACCACAAUGGAGCUCCUCCGCUUCUGCCCUUGCGGAUCCACAACCUCCCCACUUCUCGGAUGCUUCCCCAGCGCCCAACCGCCGGAGUUCCACAAAUAGUACGGCAUGGGGCUCGGAGGGAAGACGGCGGAGUUCCACGGAAACGGCCAUGGGAGCAUUGCUGCAGGCUGGUUGGCAAUUGAAGAGUGGUCGUUGUCAGUUUGGUGCGAGAAGGAGAGGACAGUGGCAGUGGCAGUGGCAGUGGGGUUGAAACUGAGGUUGUGAAAUCCGUCGGCGGCGACGUGGCGGCAGUUCUUGUUCUUGCGUCGGCCGGCGCCGACGGGGACGUUGCGCAUGGUGCCCCCAGCAGUCCAGUACCUCUGGCAGCUCUUGCAGAAGUGGCGAGGCUGGUUCACGUUGUAGUUGUUGUAGUAACAGAACUUGGUGUCCAUGCUCUUGCACCGCGGGCACGGGAUGAUUUUGUCCGGCUUUUUUAGAGUUUUUUGCUCCGAAUUUUCCGUCUUCGUGUUCGACUCCGAUCCACCAUCUGAUUCCUCAUUUUCUGCACUAGUUUCACAGAUUUCUCCUUCUGCUAUCUCCUAAAUUUUUCAACAAACAAUUCCUGUUAGCUUCCUGUUCUAUCACUCAAACUGUAACACUUCGUUGCUUCCAUCUAUUUAUAAUUUAAUCAAAUCAGAACAAACUCCAUUUCAUAUGUGAAACCACACAAACAAUCCAGAUUAAAUUCCACUUAAUUUCGACUCUUUUCGGAGAUGAGUUUUCAAUUGAUCAAACCAGAAUUUGAGGAAUUAUUUCCCAGAACAAACACCCUUUUUCACAAACCAAUGGUUUAAGGAAAACAAAACAGGGAAAAGGGUUUUGGGGGCAGAAUCAAUACUUUCCGAAGUGGCUGGAAAUUUAGAAAGUUGAGUUUACUUUGAAUAUUUAAAACAGGGGAAGAGUGAAAAAGGAAAAUGCCUAAUUCAGGAAAUUAAGAGCAAAAAUUAGACGCUUUGACUAGCUAAAAUUGAAAGCCAAGUUCAGAUUGAUCAGGAUCAAAGUAAAAAACAACUUGGAUCGUAUUUGCAAUAGGACGCAAAAAUAAAGGGAAUGAUAACUGAAUACGGAAACAACUUUACAUUUCCAAAUCAAACUAAACAUCAAGUAAAGAAGCUCCCUAAAAUUCCAGAUUUACAAAUUCCAGAAAAGGAAAGACUUAAAAAAUUACAAGCACACACACACAUAUAUAUAACGCAAGUAUCAGUGAGUGACUGCGUGAAAUUUGAAAAGUCUACCUCAUCUCUCUGCUCCUGCUUUUCCUUCCUUCCAACUUCUUCUCCGUCUUGCCCUUUGCUCUGUUCCAAGCAGCGAUCGCAAUCGCCACUACUUUCGUUGGACCACUCACCGGAACGUUCUCCGACGGCGCCGUUCUCCGGAAAAUAAAUCUUCCGGCCGAACAGCUUAAUCUCCGGCUCAUUCAGCAUCUUCAUCUCUCUUCGCUACUAAUCUCAGAGUGAGAAGCAAGCUGAAAUCUCCAAAAUGAAGAGUGAUUCAGAAAAAGAUUGAGAAAAAAAGGGAGAAAAAGCUUCGUUGGCAAGGCUAGAUGGAAUGAUUUUGAUAUCUUUGUAGAAAUAUUGAAUUUAAACGGCACCGGGUGGGGAUUAUAACCAUGUUGGUGCCAUGUCAUUAGGGAUCCGAUUUUCUGAGCCACAAGUUUUUCUCCGGUGGGUCCACCAAAAUUUAUCAUUUUCCCAUAUUUCACUUCUAUCCCUAUAAUUUAAGGUUAUUUUCAAUUGCACGUUUAAGGUUCUAUACCAAAGUGCAUCUAAAUCUAAAAAUCUACAUUUUGGGAUCUUUAUUUUAAACAUAUGAUAAUUUCAACCUGAUUUUGCGAGUCAAGAAGAGUUUGAGAAAUAAAAAUAAAAUUAUUAGUUGGUGAGAGAUAAAUCACGAUUUUAUGAUGAUAUUAGUAGUAACUAAAAUAAUCACAAUUUUUUAUCCGAAUUAUAUUUUCAAUACAUUUUAUAAAUAGCUACUAUAAGUCUAUAACAAUACCACCAUUUUUUUAUUUAUAGUAUAAGGUGGAUGGUUUAAUGCUUUCCCUUUUUUGGGCCUAAAUGUAAAUAAAAUAUUCGUAAAUUUAUCUCAAAUAUCGUUACAAGUUAAAUUAAAAGUUUAGGAUUGAAAUUAAUUUCGGAACCAAGGUCCGUCAAAAGCUGAAAUAUACGUUACAGGAUCAAGUUUGAAUUAGAUAACAAAGUCAAGCCUGAAGGCACAUAUCAAAUGCAACCCCCAAUAUCAGAGUUGAAAGAUUAAAAAAACACGUGUAACUUCAAUUAUAUUAAUAUUAUUAUUUAGAUCAAAUACUCUUUUUUUCCUUUAAUCGUGUUAUUCCUAUAGAAUUUUCACCAACAAUAUUUUAACAAGUCUUGGGCCAAGUGACCUUGCUAAUGAGUCUUGUUAUUAGGUUUGUUUGUAGAUUAUAAAUAAGGACUUUUAGGAUAAAUGAAUUCUCCCAUUCUUUCUCUCUAAAUGAAUGUAAUUCAAUUUCAGCUUAUUUCUCAAUUCCUUAGCUUGAUUUUUCUCGUUUUACAAAUUCACCGCUGUGAUGAAAAUUCACCAUAACAAGUAAAAUAAACAAGCUCAAUACAUUUGAAUGAUAUAAUUUUAACUUUAUUAAUACACAUACAACAUCUUUAUGUGAGUAAUAUAUGACAAGGUCACGUCGCAUUUUUGGUCAAAUGGAGAAAAGAUACAUAUCUUCUUUGAUUAUCAUAAAGAUUUGAACGCGAUUAUUUUGGCAUAAUUAUAAAAUAUAUCAAACAUAAAAUUCUAUCAAAGUUCAUGAAUUUGUUUGGAUUUAACUCAAAGACAAAAAUUACAAAAUUUAUAAAAGAUGAAGGAUUAUUGGCAUGUAAACACACAAAUUUUUAAUCAAUUCAUGAACUACACAUGAAGUUUAAUUUUGAUACAACAAUACAUUUUUUAAUUAGAGAUUGCAUAAAAAGAAAGAAAGAGAAAACCUAAAAAAUCCUUGAAAGCACAAUAAAAGCAUACUAAGGUUCGAACCUCGUUAAAACAUUUAUAACAAAAAUCCAAAGAGAAAACCCUUAGAAAAAAAAGAGUGCUCGUCUACGAAACAAGUCACAAAGACAUAGUACAUAAUAAAGGAAAGCAGUAAACGCCGGCAUGGGAGGAGGGAGUUGCUUCCGGAGCUCCGGCCUAACCAUCGCCCCCAAGCAACCCCGGCACCCCCCACGCCUAAAAAACAAACCCAAAAGAAAGACCAAAUCUCAAAACAAAGCUUAAAAUACAUUAUAGAUUAUAUCAAAAAUAAAGUUUAUAUACUCCCUAUGUUCUAUAAGAAUGUGCACUUUUUAUUAUUUUAGAACGUUUUAUAGGAGAGAAUUUUUUUUGGGGGGGAAUUAUUUCUUAUAUUCUAUUUUUAAAAUUCGUGCUAUUAGAGCAUCCACAACGCCCUACUCGAUAUCCCCUACUCGAGUAAGGGCGAUGCAGCCCCCCCUACUCGAGUGCUACCCGAUAGAACGGGUAAGCACGAUGCGCCUAAAAUCAGGCGCGUGUUGUACAUGCUCCACAAUAAAAAAAUAUAAAAAAUUAAAAUUCAAAUUUCAUUCCAAUGACCUUGUUCGAUUUUUUUUUUUGCCUUCAACGGCUAUUUUGACGAUUUUUCUUUUUUUUNUAAUUUCCUAUCUAUAAAAUACCCCUAAACUCCUUUUUUUUAGGAAUUAUUUUUAUUUAAUUAAAUUUUAUGUAAUUUUUUAAUGUAAUUUUUAGGAUUUUAAAAUUAAUGCAAUUUAAAUUUCAAUUAAAUUGUGUUAUUUAAAUUUGAGCAAUUAAAUUUAAAUGAAAAGCAUAAAAAUCAAAACUAAAAAAAUCAAGUAAGCUAUCAAGUAGACUAUCAAGUAAGCCCACUGCAGAUGCUCUUAAUAAUUACGCACAUUUCCAUAAAUGAGGGAGUACAAUUUAUAAAUGGACUAAAAAUUUGUAUAUUACCAAUAUCCCAAAGAUUGUGUGUUGGUCAAGUGAUAAGGAGUUAAUGUCUAAGGCCAAUGUCUUGGAUUCGAGUCCCUUGUGCCGCGACCUUUUAAUUUCUUUAUUUAAUAUUGUAAAUUAAAAAAAAAAGACUUAUUCCUUUUUUUGACAAAUUGAAGCGGCUCCAUUGAAAUCUGAAGGAACUGGACCCACAGUUGCACAGAGACUCCGGUGCUACCUUGGAGGGUGGGUGUACGUGAUUUCCGUUAAACCCCUAACUUCCAAUGACGUGGAAGGAUAUGGUUAGUAGAAAGUGGAUUGGGUUUUGCUACUUUUUGUACUUGUGCGUGAGGAUUUUUUUUCAGGUGAUUGACAGAGGCUCAAUCAUGGCCAAUCAUCAACACAGGCUGUCUUACUUUUGACGGCCCAGAUUGUUAAUGAUUUUUCAGGGAAUCUUUUAAUUUUUCUUUUUAUCAUUUUGGACUUGUUUUCGGGAAGGCAAAUAAUAAUCUUUCGUUUAUUUUUAACUUUUCUCCCCACCUUUUCUCUAUUUGAAAAUUGCUGAUGCGUGUGUAGAUCCGAUUGGUUGCAUCCGAUAAAAAAUUUAGAUAUAUGUAUUUUAAUGGUACCCUUCAUUAUAGUUUACUAGUAUAUACUUCCUCCGUCCCGCGAAUCUUGAGUCAAUUCUUUUCGGCACGGAAAUUAAAAAAAUACUCCAUCCGUCCCUGCUUUUAGUAUCCAACUUUCAUUUUUUGGUCGUCCCACAUUUUGGUAUCCAUUUCUAUUUUUAGUAAAAGUAGGUAGGGCUCUUACUCCACUUUAAUUAUUUUAACUCUCACAUAAAACGUGAGACUCUUAUUCCACUCACAACACAUCAAUCACUUUAUUAAAACCCGUGCCGUUCUCAACUGGAUACCAAAAGUCGGGACGGAGGGAGUAGUAUAUAGGGUACCUCCAACAAUGAUCUCAGUUUCUAGUUUUUAAAUUGCCACAUCACUGCCACAUCAGCUUUAGAAACUCACCUACUUUUUUUAUCUAAUAUCUACUCCAACAAUAAACCAGUUUCUUACUUUUUGAGGGUCCCACCAUAAUACACACUUCCUUUAUAUAUCAAUAUACUAUUUUCUAGUAUUUUGAUUUUAUUUUUAAUUUAAACUUUUAUAUUUUAGUUAUCUAAAAAUUAAAUCGACUUAUAAUUAUAAAUAAUAAUUAAAAUUACAUUAUUGAAAUUAAAAUUUUGCCGCUGUAUAAAAUUUAGCAAUUUGACAUACUAUAAUUUAAUCAAUAAUAUAAUUGAAAAAUUAGCCGUUUAUUCUUUUAUUAUAAAGAAAAACAAUGAAUUGAAAGAAAAAUAAAAAAAAGAGAACAAAACACUCAGUCCAAUAGAUGAAAAUGAUAAACAAUUAAAUGGUGAAUUAGCCGCAAAAGGAAAAAGAAAAUAAAAAUGAAAAGGCAAAAGUACAAAAGGGGCUCGCAUCUUGCAGUGUGAAGCUGGGUGCAAAUUUGCACCUGGUUUCCUCGAUUUCUAUGUUGAAACUGGUUCCUCCUUUCUCCAACGGUAGCUCCAAAUUUAAGAAACUACAAAAAGGUGUCGUUGGAGGCACCCUUAGUGUGUUAAGUGUGGUAGGUGAAAAAGUGAAAAGGUGAAUAAAAAUGAAUUUUUUUGUCAAAAAAAAAAAUGACUCAAGAAUCGUGAAACGGCCGAAAAAAGAAAGUAACUCAAAAUUCGUGGGACGGAUGAAAUAAUAGAUAUAAUUUGCGCACAUGCGAUUGAUUUAGGUUCCCGUUGAUAUGUUUGGGACCAAGUCUCCGACAAAACAUCAAUUAAAAAAAAUCUCCAACAAAGAGAUUUUCUUAAUUCAUGUUGGAUAUUUUAUUUAAUUAACAUUAUAUAUAUCCGUGAAAUAAUAUACUUUCAAUACAAGUCAAAAACUAUACAUACAGUGACAUGCAAUACCGAAUCUCAUGAGAAGAAUAGAUUUAAUUAUUUUGGAAAAGGAGCAUCCGUAUAUAUAUACUCCCUCCGUCCCACGAAUCUUGACACGUUUGAUUUCGACACGUGAAUUAAGAAGUUGUAGAUUAGUGUUUUAAGUGUGUAAGUAAUAAAGUAUAAAAAUGAUAAAUUAGGAGAGAGAAGGUGAUAAAGUAGGAGAUAGAAGGUAAUAAUUGUUACUAUAUUUAAAAAUGUGUCAAGAUUCAUUGGACGGCUCAAAAAGGAAUACGUGUCAAGAUUCGUGGAACGGAGGGAGUAUAUAUAUAUAGGGGCUACACUAUAAAUACUUUUUAAAAUAUAAAAUACGAACUAACUAAAAUAUAUGAAUUCUAUAUAAAACACGACUGAUUUCUCUGUGUAAAUGUCUAAAUUUUAAAAAUUAAUUUUUUUGCUAUAUGUAGGAUUCGAACUCAAGACCAUGGAUCCCAAUCCCGAGCUCACCCGGAGGCUGAAAAAAGGCCCAAGAGACGCUCCACUCAAGCUCCAGCCAACCACCCGUUUUUAUAGAAAAAUUCUGAUGUGUGAUUUAGUUGUCUAGAUUUGUGUUGUUUACCAUGUGUUUUAUUUGAUAUUGCUCAAAUUUGUUGGUAUUUUGGUGCAGGAUUGGCAUGGAUCGUGAAUGGAAGGUGGCGGAUGCUGAGAGCUUGAGAAAGACGAGAUUUGAUGAAGUGAUCGUGGAAUUUUAAAGAUGAUUAGAGAUUAGAUUUGGAGGCACUGCUAAUAAGACGGAGGCACUAUUUGAUUUAUAAUUUUUUCAUUCUAAAUUAUUAAACUAUUCAAACCAACUCAUAAAUUACAGACUAAAUUGACAUAUCUAUGUGUACCUAAAAUUAAAAAUUGUUCCAAGUUGGUAAAUUUGAUUGCAAUUAAUGACUUCGUUUAAGAAGGCAGAAGAUUAUGUGGAGGACGCGUGUAAGUCAUGAUUAGACUUAUUUAACCAAACAUCUUUCGCAUUGCAAGGGCAUAGAACUUUCUGGAAGUUGACAGGUGUCUUAUCUAAGCUCAAAAGUAUAAGUAUCUUCACCAUUUAAAAACAAAAAAUAAAGAGAAAGAAAAGAAAAGUGGCUACCAACAUCUUUUGAUCUUUCGGUGUAAAGUCAUGCUGAUUUGCACUUUAAAAUAUUAGCAACCCCAACCCAGCAUCUUAAUUUUAUCUCCUAAGUUAUAGUUGGGCUAUUAAAUAUUGAAAAUUGAUAAUGAUUUAUUACAAGUCUCCUUUGAGAGUGACGUAUUUAAUUAGUUAUUCACUUAUUUUAAUUUAUGACGGUGGAUGAUUGAAAAAAAGGACAAAUUUGGAUUUGGACAAGUUUGUCUUUGUGUGGUGAAUUGAAUCUUCAAUAAAUUAAACUUUUAUUUUUAUAGACAUAAUGUUUUUCCUUAAUUUCCCCCCAUUUUUAUACACAUCUUCAACAACCAUAUGAUCACGGCCUAAAUAGAAUUAUAGUAAUAAUUAAUGACUUUAUAGUACGUGCUACUAUAUUAAUAACGUGAAAAAGGCAAUACACUCAUGCCAUGAAAUUAGGUCAAAAUUAAUCAGCUACUACACCAUAUCAGUAGCUCAGUACCAAACGUGCUAUGUGCAUGUAUAAAGAUUUUAUUUUUGUAUAAUGAAAUUUUUUAUUGAGUGAUAUGUAUAUUCAGUAUUUAUAAGUAUAAUAUAAAUAAAGAUUAUUUUUUUUAUUUAAUCAGGAAAAGUUUAUUGAGGAACCAAAAGGUACCAGAGGUACCAAAACAAGGUCAACAAAACAAGGGAAAGGAAGAGCAGUCGUCGCCAGACGAAAGAGAAAACAACAAAAGACGGAACAAAAAAAUCAAUCCACAAGACUAACUGCAUCAAACCAAGAUCUGAAAUCAGGAGAAGGUGAGCCCAAGAGGAAAGCCUUCUGCCAUCCCCACAGGCGAGAUUUAAUUUCUGCAACAAUUUUUCUUUGGCCCAACACCCAUGGUCAAAAGUGCACCUAUUCCUUUGUUUCCAAAUGCACCAGAUCACACAAAUCCAAACACCGGAAAGGAAUCUGAUAUCCUUCUUACGCCCGAGAUUAGUGAAAGCAAGGAAGUGGUCAUUUCUAGUAGAAGGAAGAGUCGACUGAACACCGAGCCAGGAGAGGAGCACAUAUAUACCAGAUUUCAGUGGACUUGAGGCAAGAGAAGAAGAGAUGCUCCGUGUCUUCAUCAUCAAGGUUGCACAGUUUGCAGACGAUCUCCGAGUUCGGGAUAGGAACCUGUCUCUUCAGAAGGUUGUCGGUCGUCGCCAUUCUUCCACACAGCGUCCUCCAAGCAGUAACUUUAGCCUUGUGAGUGGCCGGGGCUUUCCAGAUGGAAGAGAAAGCAGGGUUCUUCUGUUGGGAGGUACUAACCCCGUCGCGAAUUGCCUUGAGAGCCGACUUAACAGUGAAACAACCAUCCGGCGAUGGUUUCCAUCUCCAGCCAUCGGUUUUCCCCAUCACCAGCUUAACAUUCUUGAUGAGAGACAGAAGAAUAGAGACUUGGUCUUUCUCUCUAUCUAGAAGGGUUCUUCUCCACUGAAAAUCCCAUUCCCAGGCUCCUUCGUGCCAACUUCCCAUACUUUUAAUGUUGCCCCCAGGGUUGUUGCUGAGGCGAAAGAGUCUAGGGAAGCGGUCGCAUAGUCUCGUUCUCCCUGUCCAGUGAUGAUUCCAAAAAGACGUUGACUCACCAUCUCCUAACUGAAAUUCCAAAUUGUCCAUAAACCAUCUACCACUUUCCCCCUUGCUCAGACUCAGCACUUUAUUCCGCCAGCAGGAAGCCGAAACCCUUCCCCCUUUCAAGGUGAUCCCAUCUGUAUCCCAAUCGAUAUCUCCCUUAACUGCCCUGACCACCCGAGCCCAUAAGGUCUCUUUUCCGGUGAGAAAACGCCACAUCCACUUAGUCAUUAAGGCCAUAUUAAAUUUCUCCAGGUCAAUGAUUCCCAGCCCACCUUUUUCCUUCUCAGCACAGAGAUUCUCCCAUUUAAACCAAUGGAUCUUUCUCUGAUCCGUACCACCUCCCCAAAGAAAAUUACCCACCAAAGCUCGGAUUUCAGAUAGAACACUCUUGGGGAGUAAAAGAUAUGAGAGCUGAUAGAUAGGGAUCGAAGAGAGGACUGAGCGAAUCAGAGUAAUCCUGCCGGCCAGAGAAAUCUUUCGGUUCUUCCAUUUUGUAAUUAUGUUCUUGAUUUUGUCGACGAUAUACUUAGAAUCUGCUACCCGUGUCAGGCGGGUUCCAAUCUGAAUCCCCAGAUAAUUAGUCGGAAGGACCCCUGCAGAACAGUUUAAUUGAUCCGCCAUUUCUUUGACAACAGAAAAAUCAGUCCGGACUCCAAAAAUGGUACUUUUAUCAAAGUUAACCUUGAGGCCUGAGAUCAAAGCGAAAAGUUUGAGGAUACAUUUGAACGCCCAAAAAAAGAUUAUUGUUUCCUAGAUAUACUUUUUUCCGGUUAAAAGUGCAAUCUCACUUGAGAUCAGUUUUUCAUGUGUGUGUAUUAUUUAACUACGUAAAGAACUAUGACUUGUAACUAUAGCCUUGUAUCAUGUUGAUGAUACAUGAAUUUUUUUUUGGCCCAUCAGAAAUAAAUAAUCUAAUUUCUCUUAAAAAAUGAAAAAAAAUAAAACCACUUCAUCUUCUUUUGGCGUGUUCCACCAAGGCACCAAUACUUCCAAUGAUGUACUCCGUCCGUCCCACUACAAAUAUCAUAUUACUUUUGGGCAUAGAAAUUAAGAAAUGAGUAAAAAGUAUAUAAAGUGAGUUGAUGAAAAUUAUUUAAAUAUUAGGUAUAGAGAGAAAACCAGUGGCGGAGCCAAGCCCCUAAAGACAGGGGGGGCAAAGCAUGAUAAAAGAAAGUUUUAAAUAACUUUUACAAAAAUUAUAUAAUAAAAUAUAAUUGCAAUAAUUCCCUACGAUUAUUCAUAUUUUGAAAGCGACGUACUAUCAUCUCAUUGUCAAUUACCUCAAAAAUUUCUUUUUCAAUAUAAGUAACUAAACAAUCAUUCUCUCAACGAUCACUCAUUCAAUUUCGAAGCCGAUUUUUAACAAUCUUAAUAACUGAAAAAGCU